RNAcentral lists this ribosomal RNA (444 nucleotides) under uncultured bacterium. RNAcentral's name for it is "bacterial SSU rRNA". It matches the Rfam family "Bacterial small subunit ribosomal RNA", at positions 338 to 795 of the family's 1533-position model. The record is from RNAcentral.
CCUACGGGGGGCAGCAGUGGGGAAUUUUCCGCAAUGGGCGAAAGCCUGACGGAGCAAUACCGCGUGAAGGAAGACGGCCUAUGGGUUGUAAACUUCUUUUUUCAGGGAGGAACUCAAUGACGUGUACCUGAAGAAUAAGCAUCGGCUAACUCCGUGCCAGCAGCCGCGGUAAGACGGAGGAUGCAAGUGUUAUCCGGAAUCACUGGGCGUAAAGCGUCUGUAGGUGGUUUAGUAAGUCGACUGUUAAAUCUUGAGGCUUAACCUCAAAAUCGCAUUCGAAACUAUUAGACUUGAGUAUAGUAGAGGUAAAGGGAAUUUCCAGUGGAGCGGUGAAAUGCGUAGAUAUUGGAAAGAACACCGAUGGCGAAGGCACUUUACUGGGCUAUUACUGACACUCAGAGACGAAAGCUAGGGUAGCAAAUGGGAUUAGAUACCCGAGUAGUC